Pollicipes pollicipes is the source of this 409-nucleotide long non-coding RNA. RefSeq lists it as uncharacterized. The record is from RefSeq and is a predicted model, not a curated record. The transcript has 2 exons. NCBI's taxonomy places the organism in Eukaryota, Metazoa, Arthropoda, Thecostraca, Pollicipedomorpha, Pollicipedidae.
CGGCGGCGACUACUACGGCGGAUACGGUGGGUACGGGGGCUACGGCGGGUACGACAGCGGCUACGGCAGCGGCUAUGGCGGCGGCUACGACGGCGGUCAGGGCUACAGCGGCGGCAAGCAGCGCGGCGGUGGCGGCGGCCGGGGCGGCAGCUCGCGCCACCAGCCGUAUUAGCGCGGCUGGCCCCCUUCCCCCGUAGCUGUGUCCUCAACCGCGACCACACAUCUCAUCAAGGUUCACUGCACCAUCCGCUGGCUCGCCUAUGGCAGGGCCGUCCAUUCCGCGCGCUGCGCGUGCUGGGCUCCGCGCUCGCCGGUCUCCGCGCUCACCGGUCUCCGCGCUCGCCGGUCUCCGCGUGUGAGAGUUGUCUGUGUCUUGAACUUGCGCCCGAAUACACGGGUCUUGUGUACC